AUAACAUAUGAAAUUUAAGAUGAGUUUUAGAGGUACAAAGUAUAACUUGCCGCACCCCGCAGGGUGCGGUCAUAUCCAACCCAGUACAAAGCAAUUGGGGCACCACUAAGAAAACAUUUAAUACUCCCUCCAAUCCAUAAUAAAUGUCGCAGCUUUGAACUUAGGUUGAACUAAUCUUAGUUCAAAAUGACGAUUGAACUAACCUUAGUUCAAAACGACGACACUUAUUUUGAUUUGGAGUAGCAACUAUAAGUCUAUAACCACCAAAAUGAGUCUGGUAUAUACUUCCACCACAAUGAGUCUCGCUGCACCCCACUUUAUACAUAUACACUAAGCAUACAUAGCUGAAAUAAAUUUAAUACACAGGAAUGUGGUUACAAUAAACAACAAAAGGAUUUGCUUGAUACUGCAAAUAUAUGGCCAGGUCCGUUUCCAUGGUAUUUUAAAUGUUAAUAUGAAAAGUGAACAAAGACUAAAAUUCACUCCAGCAAACACACAAAAAUAAUACAGAAGGAAAGAUUGAAAGCAGCCAUGGUACAACCUCCAAAAAUGAAAACCAUGCAAAUUAGCCUUUGCAAACAUUUAGAAAUAGAGGUUGUUCGAAAUAAUGUCCCAAAAUGAUAUCAAUAACCCAAAUUGUGUGACCUUGCCCACCUAAACUUCAGCAGACCGGACAAAACAUGCCAAUCGUCUUUGCCUUUCAUCAUAUCCCGAUCAUUAGCACAUCCACAUGCGAGCUUGUUAGACGACAUUAUCAUGACGCUGAUGAAGAGCCAUGUAAUUUGCUUAGAAAUGCACAAAGCAAGAGAAAUAUCAGCAUAAAUAAUAAAGAAAAAAGCAUCAAGUUACUAUCUUCAGCUAAGUACUACAAAGCACCACAAGUUAAAAGAGUCAAAUUAUAUGUGUAUUCCCUCUUAAGUUCACAACAAAUGUACCAAAACUGGAAAACAUAGGCAAAAACCAUGUCUCGAUAACGGAUCUUGAAAUAAAGAAAGAAUGGCAAGUCUAAAUUGUAUUGCAUCUGUUAUGUAUCAGGCUAUCAUACAAGAGUGGUGGUUCUGCAAACCAAUUGGUAUUUUUCAGAAGUUGUGUCUCCAUAGGAGAGAAUGUGGCUAUGAUUAUGAAAACACGUAAACAUUCUAGUUUACUGCUUAGGUGUCAUGUAAAAGCAUUCAAAAUGAAAAUGUUGAUUUGCCAACGCAAAGAAAUAUAUAGGAAUACAAGUAGAUCGACCAUGAAAAACUUCAAGUAUUGUGCUAUGAGAAUAGUACUUCUACAUAGAUGAUCUAGUGUCUCCAAUUACAGAACUGCUUAAACCAAACUCAUGAUUAUGAUUUAACAAUGAACAGAACCUUCAAGUGUUGUGCUAUGAGAAUAGCCAGUAGAGAUUUUAGAAACCAUAAAAAUCAGAUCUUUUUGUGUGCGUGCCACAUCAAUCAAGCCGGACAUAUUACAGAGCAGAUGGUGGUUAAGGAGCAUUGCCAAUUUGGCAUCUUAAAAUUCAAAGCAUGGGUAUUAUGUUGCCAGACAGGUGUAUGUAAAGCUUCAGAAAUCAGGUGUGUGUUUUAGAGCAGGGUAUCCAACAUGACUAAUAGAGUAAUCACUAAACACUAAGCUGCCCUAUCUAAGUAAUCAGGGUACCUGGCCAAGCUUAACUUAAGCCACAUGGUUGACGAUGAAAGUAAACUGCACAUAGGUGAAUGCAAGGUGGAGUGUCCUGACCUGGUAACACAAUAAGCAUAUUAUAACAGAUGAUAUGAGCAGGUAUAACUGGGAAUAUUCAGGAGACUAAUUUUUAAAAGAUCAAAUAAUAUUCUUGAUUUAGUAAUAUAAGUAAGGUAUCCGAGUAAACAUAUUAAAUAUGAAUUUUGAUGUCAAUAUUACUGUGACCAUCGUAGCACAUGAGGCACCUGCCUAGUUCUUCUGUGCAUUUCAUCAAACACAUAACAUAGGCAUGGGGGAAUGGAGUGUUGAUUAUUUGUCUAAAGUAUGAUCAGACCAAUGGUGGGAUUAGUACCAUCUAAAGCUAGAAUAUACCAAUCCAAAUGGCGAUUCCGAAGUUCUUAAUGAGAAAACUAAUUAGUUCAUCAUAGAGCAAUACAUGUAGGUUUGGGAACAAUUAGACGCACAGACAGAUUACAGACCAUUUGCAAAACCUGACAAUUAAAUCUCCCCCCUGAAUUUCACAUAGGAGGACAUCGUACUGUCAUCAUUCAAAAUGUUUGUAUCUAUAUUAUUUUGCUCAUCAUGCGUACCAUGCAUAUGUUGUUGUUCAUCCUAUAUUCAAUCACAACAAUGUGCUACCAGGAACUCAAUUAGUGCUGCAGGAAAGUACUAAAUAUUGCGAUAAAAUUACUAAAUAUCACUAAUGGCUGUACCAGCCUAAUUGACAAACCAACCUAGACUAUAUUAGUCAAUAUCUAUCCUUGAAAGUCCUGCAUUCCCCCUCCCUUUGCCCUAACAAACCUCUGUACACUUAGCAGAUAAGUCUAACCUGAAAGUAUAGUAAUCAAAGAGACCAACUUCCAACCGAGAAAUGUGUCCUCCUUUUGCUGCCAGCUCAAAAAGGACUAAUGUGCCUUUACUUUCUAUGGAUCAAGAACACUUCAACAAAUUUCCACAGUCCACAUCAAGUGCAACAAACACCUCGCUAAGAUCCAUGAAUAUGUUAAUAUUUCCUUGCACUUCUAGUCGGCCAGUGCUCAUGACGGAAUACUUGUCAAAUUUGGCAAAAGACACACUACUCUUGCACAUAAACAAAUUUGGGCAAACACGAACUCGAGUUCCGAUCAUACCCAAUAUGAACAGUUUUGAACAAAUUCUGAAAAUAAAAAUAAAUUUGAUCAGAAACAAAUUAUCAAAUUAAUCGGCAUGUUUCCAUCUCUUUAGAUUCAGUCAUAUUCAGUCAAUUUCUCCCGCAGCACAAAUAAUUGGAAGCUGAAUCACACGGGGAAUAGAACAUAAUGGGAAAUUAAUUCACUCAGAGAUGGAGAAAUGGUGGCGCUAGGCGUGCGGUACCUAGAGGCCGUGCUGGUUGAGUCCCUUGACGGCGAUGGCGGCCCUUAGCAUCGAGCAUGCGGACAAAUGUCGUGUAGACCCCGUCGAAGCCGCCCUCGUCGCCCAGAUAUGAAAUGAAAGAGCCUGCAUUCAUUGUCCAAUUAUCCUUUGACCAUCUAUGUCACUGCAUCUGACCUCUACUUGAACUAUUACUAUUGAAAACAAAAAAUACACUGCAUACGUACCAAGAACAGUAAUCCUUGAUUUUCCUUUGCAUAGCAUAAUCAGAUAUUACAAAGGACAACACAAAGCUUACAUAGACAUGAUAACCAACAGAAGUGCAUGCAUAAAUCAGAAACUAUGGAUUAAAGAUUUACCAUCAAUUAGUUGGUCACUAAGAAGGACAUAUAUGGAUGGAUUCACUUAAUAGCAGUCACCAUGUAUAUCACAUUAUCAUCUAAUCAAGAAAAUUGCUUGACAAAUCAGAGAUUUCGAGUAAUGUUUGAACAAUGGCAUAAAAAGAAAUCUGAAUCACAGGUAGGUAAACAUUGCAAGUACUACAACUGACCAUGCAUAUUUAAACUGAUUUCCUUCAUGAGAAUUUCUAGUUCAGUACCCAUGUUUUUCUAAAUUUGGCAUGUGCUUACUAACAUGACAUACCGAGCCAUGAAUCUUAUUACUGAGCUCUGGUCAGCCAAAAAAUUAGAAGCUUUAAACCAAACAUGAGAUUAGUGUAGGCAGAUCAAAUGGUAAGAGGCCAAGAUACAAAUACUUCAAUAGUGUAGUAACCUAUAUGCAUCGUAUAAACCCAAGUCAUGCUUUCUGAAUGUAUAUAUAUAAGAUACAGAGUGGCAACAGAAGAGAUGCCAUAAUAGCAUCAGUUUCUUUUUGUAAAGAACAAUGGAUUUACACAUGCUAGUAAUUAACUUGGAGGAUCAUGUACUACACUGGCAAAAAUCUAAUGAUCCAACAUCACACUAACAUAUGUCAAUCACAAUAAAAAGUAUAAAGUUUUCUCAUAAAACAUGACUCUUGCCUAAUACCUGCAAAGCACAAUCUGGAUGGAACUAACAAAACCAAUCAAGCACAUAACCGUAGCAGCCCCUAACUCCCAGUGAAUGUUUAUUGACCAAUUCUCAAUUGCAUUCUGCAAAAGACAAACAAUAAUAUCAGUUUACAACCUGCUUGGAUUUUCAUCGAAUAUUUCUCAGUUCCUAAUUCAGAAAUGAUGUGACUGGAAUUUCCAAGUCAAUGAAGCCUAAUAAUUCAUUAAUAGGAUCAUUUCAUCUCAACAACUCAUAUUAAGUGAGUGUUAAUAUUUCAGCAGCCUGGUCAUCUAUUCACCUAAACAGAGGUAGACAAAGUUAGAACCAUAGUGGGGUUGCAACAUCCAACCAAACCCUGCAGAACAGUGAAAAUAAAACAAUUAGGCGAGUAGAUAAAAGUGUUAUUUAUUAGAUCCAGCAUAUACAAGAAAACAUCCAGAGGCAAUCAAAUUAUAUUCUGAUCAUGAUCAAAGGUGCAACACAUGCCAGUAGACAGUGUUGAUGCAAUAGACAGUGAAAUUUCCAUGAAGCUGGGAGGAGAUGUUUAAAAAUGUUGUGUGUCGUUUAAACACUACCAACUUAGAGAACUGAACCUCAGCAAGAACAUGAUCCUCUCUCAGUCUCUUCCUUUUAGAACCAAAUCAAGAUAAAUCCACUACAAACAAAUUUUCUUACAGGGCAACAGAGUUUCACCUUCUAGUAUGCAGAACAAUCCUAUCACUCAGCCAGUAUUAGGUCAGCCAUGGCCACAUUUUAUCCGGUGGGGAAUUAACUUGGGAUUCAUCUAUUAGAAAUCAUAUGCAGACCAAUGAAAAUCAAUUAAAUCGUAGGAACCACAGAUCACAAAUUCUCUUGGACUGAACAAUUAGCAGACACAUCAAAACAUGUCAUGCAAUUUUGGAAGCAAGGUCUAAGAAAGAAAUUGACCAAACCGUAC
Molecule: long non-coding RNA, 4980 nt
Filed under: Triticum aestivum (bread wheat)
Lineage: Eukaryota; Viridiplantae; Streptophyta; Magnoliopsida; Poales; Poaceae
Description: long non-coding RNA (TAES_LNC023045)
Source: RNAcentral